RNAcentral lists this long non-coding RNA (1239 nucleotides) under Homo sapiens (human). RNAcentral describes it as "HSALNT0337238". Lineage: Eukaryota; Metazoa; Chordata; Mammalia; Primates; Hominidae. The record is from RNAcentral.
CACAAUAGGCAGUAGCAAGACAGCAAACGCCACUUCAAGACUGAAUUUCUGAAACUGGCCCUUUAGCUGAGAGUGGCCAUCCUUGCCGGGGCGGGCGAUUUACUAGUUUACUAACAUUGUUACCAGGCAGCAGCCCUGGCAGCAUUUUACUAAAUCCUCAACAAGAAAACUCGCAACUCGUCUGAAGUUUCAGUUUGUUUGUUGUUACUGGAGUUAUAUCAGGGAGUUCUUUUCUAUGCCAGACUGGAGUUCAGAUUUAAAUCUUGCCCAACUCAAAAGCAAGCGCACAGGAAACACGAACCUCGCCGCCGUGAGAGCAGCCUGAGUGAGCCAGCACUCACCAAGGAAAGGGCUGCAGGUUCGCUUGAGAGUGAGGAUCAGCCGAAUUCCUCACGCUGCUCACUGAGACUUCCCCUCACUGAGACUUCACGCUCCUCACUGUCGGCUAUCGGCCGACAGAAGAUCUCACAUCCAAGUCACAAAGACUCAGAACCUUCUUCAACAAGAAACGUCACUUACAACGUGUUUGCUUCUCCAUCUCUAAGCUCAAAGUGCCCCGUUUCUCUACAGCAAAUUAGACUUUUUGCCUACUUUGGUGCUGAGAAGCCCAAACUACCAACCAAAGCUUUGGUUUUCUCUGAGGGCUGUCGGUACAGACGAGAGGCCGGGAUUGUUCUCUAGCAACCCCUGCCGGUUGACAAUAAAUGCCAGAAACUGACCCAGAGGCAUUAGUUCAUCCCCACGUUGGAGGGAAGUAAAAAAUGUCAGGCUGAGGGAGAGCAGGUAGCACCUGAACGGAUACGUCCGUGACCCAACUUCAACCAACCACGCAACGUCAAUGACCCAGGGGAUGCUGGAGCAACAGGAAGGAAGGAAUUGAUUGAACAAUCACGUGGAGCAAAGCCACGUUGUUAUUUAGGGCUACUACUUAAAUCAGAGAUCAUCUCUGUCUUCUUUAAGCCACUUCAGUUUGGAGGCUUUUUGUUCUAACAGAUUUUCUAUGCAGGUACAGUCACAUUUAUGUCUUUUAAUAAUAGAGUUCAUCCAUCAUACAAGAUUGAUGAUCCCUGCAGAAGUUAAAAGUCUAGGAAUAAGAAAUUUGCACUUUAAAGAAGUCUUUCCUUUGUCUUACGGCUUCCAGAAUUCCUGAUGAGGAGUCUGCUAUCAAUCUUAUCUUGUGGCUUUGAAGUGAUAAUGUCAUUCUCACCUGUAAUCCCAGCACUUUGGGAGGCUGAGGCC